This 253-nucleotide ribosomal RNA is filed under the name uncultured bacterium. Its description in RNAcentral is "partial 16S ribosomal RNA". It matches the Rfam family "Bacterial small subunit ribosomal RNA", at positions 524 to 776 of the family's 1533-position model. The record is from RNAcentral.
GACAGAGGUGCCGAGCGUUAGGCGGAAUCACUGGGCUUAAAGCGUGUGUAGGCGGACGUCUAAGUACCUUGUGAAAUCCCACGGCUCAACCGUGGAACGGCUUGGUAUACUGGGCGUCUUGAGCCACUUAGGGGUCGUCGGAACAAGCGGUGGAGCGGUGAAAUGCGUAGAUAUCGCUUGGAACGCCAAUGGUGAAAACAGACGACUGGGAGUGUGCUGACGCUGAGACACGAAAGCCAGGGGAGCGAACGGG